AUACGUAGGGGGCGAGCGUUGUCCGGAAUGAUUGGGCGUAAAGGGCGCGUAGGCGGCGCGGUAAGUCUGGAGUGAAAGUCCUGCUUUCAAGGUGGGAAUUGCUUUGGAUACUGCCGCGCUUGAGUGCAGGAGAGGUUAUCGGAAUUCCCGGUGUAGCGGUGAAAUGCGUAGAGAUCGGGAGGAACACCAGUGGCGAAGGCGGGUAACUGGACUGCAACUGACGCUGAGGCGCGAAAGUGUGGGGAGCAAACAGGAGUAGAUACCCUGGUAGUCCACACUGUAAACGAUGAAUGCUAGGUGUAAGAGGUAUCGACCCCUUUUGUGCCGGAGUUAACACAAUAAGCAUUCCGCCUGGGGAGUACGGCCGCAAGGUUGAAACUCAAAUGAAUUGACGGGG
Molecule: ribosomal RNA, 397 nt
Filed under: uncultured bacterium
Lineage: Bacteria
Description: partial 16S ribosomal RNA
Rfam family: Bacterial small subunit ribosomal RNA
Source: RNAcentral